Molecule: ribosomal RNA, 254 nt
Filed under: uncultured bacterium
Lineage: Bacteria
Description: partial 16S ribosomal RNA
Rfam family: Bacterial small subunit ribosomal RNA
Source: RNAcentral
UACGAAGGGGGCUAGCGUUGUUCGGAAUUACUGGGCGUAAAGCGCACGUAGGCGGGUUGUUAAGUCAGGGGUGAAAUCCUGGAGCUCAACUCCAGAACUGCCUUUGAUACUGGGUAUCUUGAGUAUGGAAGAGGUGAGUGGAAUUCCGAGUGUAGAGGUGAAAUUCGUAGAUAUUCGCAAGAACACCAGUGGCGAAGGCGGCUCACUGGCCCGGUACUGACGCUGAGGUGCGAAAGCGGUGGGGAGCAAACAGG